Long non-coding RNA from Hibiscus syriacus, 1898 nucleotides. RefSeq lists it as uncharacterized. NCBI's taxonomy places the organism in Eukaryota, Viridiplantae, Streptophyta, Magnoliopsida, Malvales, Malvaceae. The transcript has 2 exons. The record is from RefSeq and is a predicted model, not a curated record.
UAAGAAGUAUGGUCACUAAAUGACAUCCAGGAGAAAUCUAUAUCCUUUCAGAGAGAGAGAGAGAGAAAGAGAGAGAGAGAGAGAGAGAAAUCUAUUCGUAUUAGCAAAUUAAAAAAAGAAGAUUCAAGAGUCACAAGACUUCUCCGGGUGUUCUCUGUCAGACUCAGAUCUGGUUUCAAGGAGGAAUGUGUUGAGAAAAGAAGCUAGAAAGACUUAGGAUCUUGGUAAGAGCCUAGGAAUUCAAAUUUUAGGGGAUGAAGAGAAAGUGGUGAAUUGAAUUGCUAAUCUCGAAGAAAAUCAAGUUAGGGGCAAGGAGGGUGCUGUUCAAGGUUGAUAACAGGAACCAUGAAGGUCCUCUCUUGGAAUUUGCGUGGAAUGGGUUCGGAUGUUAAACGAUCGACUCUUCGUAAAUUGCUAACAGAAAGUGGAGAUGGCAAUUAUUCUAGAAACAAAGUUGGAAUCGAUAACGACGAAAGUGAUUCGGAAGAUUUGGUACGUUGAUGAAUUCGAAUUUCAGUGGUCUCCAACUGUAGGUAGGCCAGGUUGGUCUUGUUUUCUAUUUGGAACAAAUUAGUUUUCAAUCUAGUACAGGUUAAGAUUAGGCAAAACUUCAUUUUUGUUAGGGGUCGUUGGAUUGGACAGGUGAUAGUGUAGCAAUUUUUUUAUGCUCCAUGUGUGGUGAAUGAACAAGUUGUUUUGUGGAAGGAGUUGAUCCAAAUGAAGCGAACGGUGUCUGCAAUAUGCUUAUUUAGAGGAGACUUUAAUGUCGUUAGAUAUAGAUGUGAAAAAAAGGGGGUGUUCCCCUCUUGAAGGGUUGUGGCGAAUUUAACAAAUUUAUCUCGAAAGGGAAUUUGAUUGACUUGCCGAUGUUGGGAAAGAUAUAACACAAUGGAGUUUGAAGCGUUUGGAGUCGGAUCAUAUUCCGAUUCUUCUUACCAAGGGUUCAUCAUAUUGGGGUUUGAAGUCUUGCAUUAGAGUGGAGUCGAGCUCUAAGGUGAUAUGGAAUUGGAUUCAGAAUCCUAUAUAUAGACCUUGGCAAUGGGGGGAUACUUCCUUGGAAAUUGUCAGGCUAACAUUGUUAGUAGGUAAGGUGAAUUUCAGCUUUAUUUCUAGAGUGGUUAAUGGGUCAUCUUUACAGCUUGCUGCUAUAGGUGCACUUAGACCUUAGGUGUUUAAAGCGUUUUGGUAGGAUUCAACCCUUUCCAGUGGUUGCUGUUGGGGGAGGUUGAUAUGUAGGCAGUGUUGUUUUUGGUAUCUUGAAGUUCGACCUUAAAAUUGGAAUGGGCGCUUGUUGGUGUGGUUUUUUCACGUUUGGGUAGUUGUGUUUUGAAUUAAAGUCGGAUGAUUUGAGGUGGUUUUCUUGUGCUCCUUUUGCGUGUGUUCCUGUAGCUGUACCUGGUGUGCUAGAGUCUUUGUCAAGAAACAUGUUUCCUAUGCUCGAAUUGUUGGUUGGUUGGGACUGUGGAGUAUAUAUCCUGUUUCGAAGGACUACUAUGAGUGCAAUCGGGGACUGGUUCAUUUGUUUCUCAUUUGAUUCUUGCCAGAAGUGGAUCCCAUUCGAUGUAGUGCUGUCUCAAGAGUGCUAAUGCCAUUGUUUUCCUACUUUUACUCUAUUGGGAAGAGAUCCGGUUUUGUGUUCGAAUAGCCUAGCUUUGUUCUCGUUGAUAUGUUUUAUGUGUUAUCUACUGGGAUUUUUUUUAUGAUUUUCUAUUAUUAAUAAGUUCCUAAUUAUUUGUGAUACGCAACCGGUAGGUUGUUUCUAAAACUACUUGGCUUGUUUUUAGGAUAACAAAAUUAUUGAGCCUUAUUUUUCUCUUUCUGGUUAUUGUAAGGCUUAUAUAAGCCAAAGGUCUGUUUGUUUUCAGUGUGAAGUGCAAUUCAUCUAUUUUGAGUGUGAA